This 1429-nucleotide ribosomal RNA is filed under the name uncultured prokaryote. Its description in RNAcentral is "partial 16S ribosomal RNA". It matches the Rfam family "Bacterial small subunit ribosomal RNA". The record is from RNAcentral.
GCGGCGCGGAUGCUUACGGCCUAACACAUGCAAGUCGAGCGAGAAAGCACUUCGGUGUGAGUAGAGCGGCGGACGGGUGAGUAACGCGUAGGAAUUUGCCCAGUAGUGGGGGACAACAUGUGGAAACGCAUGCUAAUACCGCAUACGCCCUAUGGGGGAAAGCAGGGGAUCUUCGGACCUUGCGCUAUUGGAGAAGCCUGCGUCGGAUUAGCUAGUUCGGAUUAGCUAGUUGGUGGGGUAAAGGCCUACCAAGGCGACGAUCCGUAGCUGGUCUGAGAGGAUGAUCAGCCACACUGGGACUGAGACACGGCCCAGACUCCUACGGGAGGCAGCAGUGGGGAAUAUUGGACAAUGGGCGAAAGCCUGAUCCAGCAAUGCCGCGUGUGUGAAGAAGGCCUUAGGGUUGUAAAGCACUUUCAGUAGGGAGGAAAAGUUAGUCGUUAAUAACGGCUAGCCCUGACGUUACCUACAGAAGAAGCACCGGCAAAACCCGUGCCAGCAGCCGAGGUAAUACGGAGGGUGCGAGCGUCGUUAAUCGGAAUUACUGGGCGUAAAGAGCGCGUAGGUGGUUAGUUAAGUUGGAUGUGAAAGCCCCGGGCUCAACCUGGGAACUGCAUUUAAAACUGGCUAACUAGAGCAUGGUAGAGGAGAGUGGAAUUUCACGUGUAGCGGUGAAAUGCGUAGAGAUGUGGAGGAAUACCAGUGGCGAAGGCGGCUCUCUGGACCAAUACUGACGCUGAGGUGCGAAAGCGUGGGUAGCAAACGGGAUUAGAUACCCCGGUAGUCCACGCCGUAAACGAUGUCAACUAACUGUUGGGCGGGGGUUUCCGCUUAGUGGUGCAGCUAACGCAAUAAGUUGACCGCCUGGGGAGUACGGCCGCAAGGCUAAAACUCAAAUGAAUUGACGGGGGCCCGCACAAGCGGUGGAGCAUGUGGUUUAAUUCGAUGCAACGCGAAGAACCUUACCUACCCUUGACAUACAGAGAACUUUCUAGAGAUAGAUCGGUGCCUUCGGGAGCUCUGAGACAGGUGCUGCAUGGCUGUCGUCAGCUCGUGUUGUGAGAUGUUGGGUUAAGUCCCGUAACGAGCGCAACCCUUAUCCUUAGUUGCUAGCAGGUAAUGCUGAGAACUCUAGGGAGACUGCCGGUGAUAAACCGGAGGAAGGUGGGGACGACGUCAAGUCAUCAUGGCCCUUAUGGGUAGGGCCUACACGCGUGCUACAACGGCCAGUACAAAGGGCAGCGAACUAGUGAUAGUGAGCGAAUCCCAGAAAGCCGGUCGUAGUCCGGAUUGGAGUCUGCAACUCGACUCCAUGAAGUCGGAAUCGCUAGUAAUCGUGGAUCAGAAUGCCGCGGUGAAUACGUUCCCGGGCCUUGGUACACACCGCCCGUCACACCAUGGGAGUGGGUUGCAAAAGAAGUAGGUAGUC